This 429-nucleotide ribosomal RNA is filed under the name Bacillota bacterium. RNAcentral's name for it is "Firmicutes bacterium partial 16S ribosomal RNA". It matches the Rfam family "Bacterial small subunit ribosomal RNA", at positions 355 to 776 of the family's 1533-position model. The record is from RNAcentral. Lineage: Bacteria; Bacillati; Bacillota.
UAGGGAAUCUUCGGCAAUGGACGGAAGUCUGACCGAGCAACGCCGCGUGAGUGAAGAAGGUUUUCGGAUCGUAAAGCUCUGUUGUUAGAGAAGAACGUUGGUAGGAGUGGAAAAUCUACCAAGUGACGGUAACUAACCAGAAAGGGACGGCUAACUACGUGCCAGCAGCCGCGGUAAUACGUAGGUCCCGAGCGUUGUCCGGAUUUAUUGGGCGUAAAGCGAGCGGAGGCGGUUCUUUAAGUCUGAAGUUAAAGGCAGUGGCUUAACCAUUGUACGCUUUGGAAACUGGAGGACUUGAGUGCAGAAGGGGAGAGUGGAAUUCCAUGUGUAGCGGUGAAAUGCGUAGAUAUAUGGAGGAACACCGGUGGCGAAAGCGGCUCUCUGGUCUGUAACUGACGCUGAGGCUCGAAAGCGUGGGGAGCAAACAGG